CAACAACAACAACAAACCCAGUGUAUUCCCACUUAGUGGGGUCUGAGGGGGUAAGAUGUACGCAGUCCAUACCUCUACCUCUGAUGAAGUAGAAAGGCUGUUUCCGAAAGACCCCCGGCUCAAGGCACAAGAUAUCACACAAACACAUAGUAAAGCACAGAAGCAGAUGACAUAACAUAAAUACGACACCCAUAAGGAAUAUAAAACAGAGGAAAGCAGAGGAAAGCACACAGAUUCGUAAUAAGCAUGGAACACUGAAUACGGAAUCAUAACGGGAAUAAAAAAUAAAAAAAACCCCACCAAGUAAUUCCCAACACUAGCGACCCA
This 327-nucleotide long non-coding RNA is filed under the name Capsicum annuum. RNAcentral describes it as "long non-coding RNA (CANN_LNC006077)". Lineage: Eukaryota; Viridiplantae; Streptophyta; Magnoliopsida; Solanales; Solanaceae. The record is from RNAcentral.